This is a long non-coding RNA of Alnus glutinosa, 810 nucleotides long. RefSeq lists it as uncharacterized. The transcript is spliced from 3 exons. The record is from RefSeq and is a predicted model, not a curated record. NCBI's taxonomy places the organism in Eukaryota, Viridiplantae, Streptophyta, Magnoliopsida, Fagales, Betulaceae.
UUCUUCUUCUAUUCUUCUUUUUCUUGCCGAGAACAGAGACAGCGAGAGGGAGAGAGUGAGACUGAGAUGAGAGAUCGAGGGAGAGAGUGAGAUUGAGAGAUUAGAGAGAAGAGAAAUAGAGAGAGAGAGAAGCAGAGAUCGGGAGAAAGGGAGAGAUGCCGAGAGGGAGAGAGUGGCGGGGAAGAGAGGACCCGGUGGACCCAGAACCCAGGGAACGCCGGUGACACAACUUCCGGUGAAGCCCGUGACCAGGGAGGAGCCCCGAUCGUGAAGCCGUGAAGUCCGCGGGCCGCAACCAGCUAGACCCGGGAGAGAAACCCCCGACCUGCGAGCCAAACCCGACGGAUCCGGGAGAACCCAUGCGACCCGAACCUCCUGGAGGUUCGAUCCUCCAUGUCCGGCGGCCAGACGCCGAUUUCCGGCGAGCUAAGGCGACUUUCCGGCCGAUCCGUGAAGCCCGAAGCCCCUGACCCGAAAACCCGACUCGGUGACCCGACGACCCGAGAGGAAGACCCGGUUCUUCCUGUGCGUUUUCCGGCGACUUUUCCGGCAAAAUCAGAGGCGAUUUUUGUUUGGGUUCUUGAGAAAACCCCCAAGGUAAAAGCUCGAUCUCGAUGCUAAUGGAAAGUCCAGAUGACAACAGUAAGACGAAGUCUUUUCCUUGUAAGGGCGUAGACCUCGCUGAAAGCGAUAGUUCGUGAUGAACCGGCCAAACCCUAGUUUUGUAUAGUAUGUUUUGUUCUUUUUGGAGUUCAUGACCUUGUAAAUAAUUAUUAAUAGAAAUGUUUAAUAAAAUAGGAGAUUUAAAUU